Molecule: ribosomal RNA, 234 nt
Filed under: uncultured bacterium
Lineage: Bacteria
Description: partial 16S ribosomal RNA
Rfam family: Bacterial small subunit ribosomal RNA
Source: RNAcentral
GCACAAGCAGUGGAGUAUGUGGUUUAAUUCGAAGCAACGCGAAGAACCUUACCAGGUCUUGACAUCCGAUGCAUAGCACAGAGAUGUGUGAAAUCCUUCGGGACAUCGAGACAGGUGGUGCAUGGUUGUCGUCAGCUCGUGUCGUGAGAUGUUGGGUUAAGUCCCGCAACGAGCGCAACCCUUAUUGCCAGUUACUACGUUAAGAGGACUCCGGCGAGACUGCCGUUGACAAAA